AAAGUCGUAACAAGGUCUCCGUAGGUGAACCUGCGGAGGGAUCAUUAACAAACACACACAUACAUGAGCCACGACGCUCUGUGCAACCGUCCGUUCCUGGGAGGCGUGGGUAUUGCCGUGAGACAGCGGGAAGCGUGUCUCGUAUCACCCCAGGAGCAACACAACCACAAUGACCGUCAUAUUAUAAUACGAAUACGAAAACGAAAACAACUUUUAACAAUGGAUCUCUUGGCUCUU
RNAcentral lists this unclassified non-coding RNA (237 nucleotides) under fungal sp. RNAcentral describes it as "partial contains small subunit ribosomal RNA, internal transcribed spacer 1, and 5.8S ribosomal RNA". The stretch from base 1 to 47 matches the Rfam family "Eukaryotic small subunit ribosomal RNA", at positions 1785 to 1831 of the family's 1831-position model. The record is from RNAcentral. Lineage: Eukaryota; Fungi.